AUUGAACGCUGGCGGCAGGCCUAACACAUGCAAGUCGAACGAGUGGCGGACGGGUGAGUAAUGUCUGGGACACUGCCUGAUGGAGGGGGAUAACCACGGGAAACGGUAGCCAAUACCGUAUACCAUCAGAUGUGCCCAGAUGGGAUUAGCUAGUGGGUGGGGUAACGGCUCACCAAGGCGACGAUCCCGAGCUGGUCUGAGAGGAUGACCAGCCACAAUGGAACUGAGACACGGUCCAGACUCCUACGGGAGGCAGCAGUGGGGAAUAUUGCACAAUGGGCGCAAGCCUGAUGCAGCCAUGCCGCGUGUGUGAAGAAGGCCUUCGGGUUGUAAAGGACUUUCAGCGGGGAGGCGUUACCCGCAGAAGAAGCACCGGCUAACUCCGUGCCAGCAGCCGCGGUAAUUC
Molecule: ribosomal RNA, 406 nt
Filed under: uncultured bacterium
Lineage: Bacteria
Description: partial 16S ribosomal RNA
Rfam family: Bacterial small subunit ribosomal RNA
Source: RNAcentral